CUGUACGUCUUUAUUGAGAUAGAAAUGACAUACAACAAAUUGCACAUAUUUAAAUUGUACACAUUAAUGUUUUGAAGCAUGUACAAAUCCUUAACAUCAUCAACACAGUCAGGUGAACACAUCCAUAAUUCCCCCAAAUAUUCCCAGGCCCUUUUGUAAAGUAAUGCAUGCCUCCACCCACUACCUCUCCCCCUACAUUCCAGGAACCACUGGUCUGCUUUUUAUUUCAUUUCAUAUUUUUAUAGAGUUUUAUAUCAAUAAAAUUGCACAGAGCACAUUCUUUCGUUGUAGAGGGGUCUGGCUUCUUCAUUUUACACAAUGUAAUUACUUGAGAGUUUACUCGUAUGUUAUUUUUCAUCAGUUAUUGAUUCGUUUUUUCAUUUUGUAACCUUUUAUUGGCAUACAGUUGAUUUACAAGGUUGUGAUAAUUUCUGCUGUUUAGCAAAGUGAUUCGGUUACCAUAUACACAUAUCCAUUCUCUUUCAGAUUCUUUCCCCACAUAGAUUAUCACAGAAUAUUGGGUAGAGUUCUCUGUGCUAUACAGCAGGUCCCCAUUGGCCAAUUAUUCCAUACACCACAGUGUGCAUAUGCCCAUCUCAAACCUCUAGUCCAUCUGCCCCCACCUGUCCCCUUUGGUAACCAUAGUUUGUUUUCAAAGUCUGUGAGUCUGAUUCUGUUCUGAGAAUAAGUUCACUUGUAUCCUCUUUCUAGAUUUCACAUAUAAGUGACAUAAUAUGAUGUUUAUCCUUCACUGUCUACCUUCACUUGGUAUGAUAAUUUCUAGACUAUGGAGACCAAAUGCUUUGGCUCUUGGGAAGACAAUGUCACAGUGUUAUCCCAGUCUCCUGACUACUUCAAGUUUCAGAAGCAAAUCCUGCAGCUUGAGGAUCAAUGAAGACCCACAACACCCUAGGGACUGCACUGCGCUUUCUCUUCUUUCUCUAACCUCAAAUUCCAUAUUCCUCCAUAGAUGUGCUAUAUUCAUUCAUGCAAUGGCCAGAAGUCCAUGUACAAAGUAUGGCGGAUGCUUUCAGUUUUACUCUAAAGACUCCCUAGGUUAAAAACAUAUAGUUUACAUAAAACUUUGCCAAGAACUCCCAAAUAUGGCAGUUCUGUAAGAGCCUUUCAGUUUUUCUGAACUCAUGUCCCCAUGUCUUAUAAUCAUGUAAAAUGUCAAAAGGAUCUUAAAAUAUCAGCUAGUUUUAACAAACUCUUCAAAAUCAUGUUAUGUAGCUUUUUUUUUUUUAAUAAAAAGAAUGAAGAAAGAAAUCCUAACACUGUAUUAUCAAAUGGUUAGGGUAUCAUCAAAUUAACUCUGAAUAAAUUAGAUAUUUCUCUUACCUCUGUGGUUUGUGUACCGCCCCCUUCUACAAAUUAAAAAAAUAUACAUAUAUAAGUACAGACAUACAUAUAAAGUUAUUUAAAAUAUGGCAGAUUAUCUAAUAUUGUAUCCCAUUUAAGUGCUUCUCAAAGUUUUUCAGGCUUCCCAGGGUUGAUCAUUUUGUGCAAGUUUUGGAUCAAAGCCCAGAGCACUUGGUCUAUAUAAUAACAAAAAUAAUGCCCACCAUCACAAAGCAUCCAGCAAAUUCAAGUUUGUCAAAAUAGACCAAAAGCUCUCCCUGUUCACAACCCAGCCUGAGCCUCAAUCUAGUGCCACCUAGGGAGAAUUCCAAACAGAUUGCAUAAUCUAGAGCUGUUGUGCUCCAAGGGGGUCAGGGGCAGUGAACUGUGAACUGUCAGCUAUUGGAAGGGGAAAAAAACCACCUUAGAAAAUAGAGUAUGGCUCCUGACUGGCUAUGAAUCGAAGCAAUCUUACUUCCGGCUCUGUAACAGAAUUCUAUCAUCUCUAAUCCCUCAACAAACAACAAAGAUGCUCCCCAAACAUCCUGUCUUCCAAGUCAUCCUGGAAUUUAACUUUUUCCCCCUCUGUUGGCUAUUUAGUUUUCAGAUUUUUAUGGAUUUCAGAGAUUCACAAAUUGAUUUGGAAAUGUCAACAGACCUAUGAGUUUGCUUCUAUUUAUAGUGCAGUGGUGGUAGGUGGGAGGAGAAGAGGCUGAUGGGAACUUUCAGGAAGUCAAGAGAACAGAAAAACAAGUCUUCUCAGUGGCCUUAAACCCACAUGGUAGACACAUAGCUUCUACAUUCAGCCUAGUAGAUUAGAUGUGAAUCAGCCCUGAAGAAGCUGGUGUGGAUCUGGGGAGGAAAAGACUUUCUUAACUAGCAGCACACAAAGGAAUUAGAUGGUGGGAGACCAGUAUUUUAGCAAUAACUGCACAAUUUCCAAGUUAGCUUGGCUUUUUUUUUUUUUUUAAUAGUCUCAGCAACCCCACACAAUAUUCAAACAAGCAAGUGCAAACAGUCUCCCAAGUAAUUCAGGAGUGAUGCCUGGGCUCUUUAUAUAUGAAAGGAAAAGACAAAUUGAAUAACUCAGGACUGCCAAACUACCAUCCCAAACUCCAUAAUAGCUUAAUGGUCAACAAGAAAGCUACGUCAGACAAUAUUAUCACAUGAAAAAGAAAUGAGGCUAUAUUAGUCCUUAAAACAAAAGACAUUAGCCCUAAAUGGGGAAAAAGUGAGGCUGCAAAAUGUA
This 2590-nucleotide long non-coding RNA is filed under the name Sus scrofa (pig). Its description in RNAcentral is "lncRNA (ENSSSCG00065015805.1)". The record is from RNAcentral. Lineage: Eukaryota; Metazoa; Chordata; Mammalia; Artiodactyla; Suidae.